This is a long non-coding RNA of Hordeum vulgare subsp. vulgare (domesticated barley), 1953 nucleotides long. RefSeq lists it as uncharacterized. The record is from RefSeq and is a predicted model, not a curated record. The transcript has 7 exons. NCBI's taxonomy places the organism in Eukaryota, Viridiplantae, Streptophyta, Magnoliopsida, Poales, Poaceae.
UGCCGACAGGCUUGACGAUGUUGUUAGUAUGAACAGACAGAUUGGCAGCUACAGCAGAUGAUUCAGUAUGACAACCGCAGUUUACUGGCUUCCGAUUCAAAGUUUGGAACAAACAAGUUAAAGAUGGAUGGGUGCUCUAUAUGAUCGAGUUCGUACAAAAGGCCCGACAUGGCAGUUGGGUGGCUUCAUUAUUGAUGAUCCAUUGACUGAUGUGCGCACUAUAAGGGAAGUGUUUCUGUGCCCGGUGUUGAUUUCCUUAUGGCGUGUCCGUCACGCUUGGCAUAAAAAAAUGAUGAACAAGUGUUCAGAUUUUGAGAGGCGUUCAAUGAUGUCUAAAUGACUUGGGGAGGCAAUAUCCAGCAUCUGCAGAGGAAACGGUGAUAUAGAAUUAUUUCAGGCCUUCCUGGAAGAUUUUAUUGAUUGCUCGGGCUUUGUAGACUACUUCAAAGCUCUAUGGUUUCCAAGACUUGGUUGGUCCAUGUACCUUGCUUUUCUGGCCGUACCUGGAUUUUACUUGUUACAAGUUAUUUGAUAAGUUCUCUUAUCCAACUUUUUAAUCUCAAUAUCUUCCAGGGGCAUGGACAAGCGUCUUGAAGACCAACCCGUUGGCUACUGCUGAGGUAGCUUCAACAAUUGAGAGGUACCACCACCUGCUAAAACUUCGGCUGUUGAAUGAGGCAGAUGAAAGCAUCUACCAACGUGCAGACUGGUUGGUUCACAAGUUGGGUACAAAGGUUCACUCUUACUAUUGGUUGGAUGAAUUUUCUGGGAAGGACAGUUUCUCUCGCUACUGGAGGAGUGAGUGGAAAACCGGCCCAAACCCAUGGCAGCAGGGAUUGCAAAUUCUAGAUUCUGAUAUUGUAAUUGAAGGCAAUUGUGCUAGAGUGGUCUGCCAGAAACACAAGGAGAAGUCCCAUGCUGUUCUGAACCCAAGCUCUGAGCUUGCAUUGUGUGACUGUAGCUGGUCAAGGAAGGGAAACCUUUGCAAGCAUGCAAUGAAGUUGGCUAAGGUUUAAUAAGUUAUAUAACAGAAAUAGAAUUUAAUUUGUGUAUGGUGUGGAUUCCAAAACUAAUCUGCUUCUACUGGAACGCUCGCUUGUACUCCCUCCGUCCCAAAAUAACUGUCUCAAGCUUAGUACUAGAAUUUAUUUUGAGACGGAGGGAGUACUAGAAUUUUUCUAAAGCUAAUGAAAUCCCCUUGUACUCCAUCUAAAGCUUUCAUGAUGACUACUUUUCCAAGAUACAUGUGACAAAGAGGAGGAGCUCAAGGAGCUGAAUGUGAAAGGAUAAAGUAGUCAGGAAGGAGAAAUCAUAUGUUGGCUUAACUAAUGCUUCCUAAUCAGAACAUGAACCUUAUGAUGACCCAUAGUUGGAUGUAUGUGAGAGGAUGAACAUUCAGACAUCCUUGAUGACUGGGAUUCUAGGAAGACGAUCACAUACUCGACCAGCCCACCUGUCACCGCGAGAAUCAUCCUGGUAACAAUAAAAUCUACAACCAAGAACAUUUGUUUGUGUCAGACAUCUUUAAUAACUAACGUGGAAGUAUUGACAGUUCUCCACAAGCUAAUUGUUUGAUGUGAUUAUCUGGUGGUGCUUUUGCUCCAGCUUCAAUUGCAUUGCUUUUGCUGUAUCGAUGGACUCUUUUCCCUUCGGUCAUUGAUUGAACCGAGUUGAUUCUGCAUAGCCGCAUAGGGAUAGGUACUUUUGAUAGUCUACUAUACAAAAAUAUUUGGUCAGUUAUUACCCCCCCUAUGUAUCUAUUCUUUCUCAAGUUUGAAUUGUUAAUAUAUCCAUUAGAGGAUUAGUUAUCCGUCUGCGCAAGGACCAAUACAGGUUAAGCACCCAUUGUUUUAAAGUAGAUUGUCUCUAUUCUCAUGCACGUGGACUUUCGGGGUAUGGAUACAAUGAAGUUCCACAAUGAUUCUCUUAAUUUCUAGGUUUCAGUAUCUUUUA